Molecule: long non-coding RNA, 224 nt
Filed under: Lathyrus oleraceus (garden pea)
Lineage: Eukaryota; Viridiplantae; Streptophyta; Magnoliopsida; Fabales; Fabaceae
Description: Pisum sativum (pea) long non-coding RNA (PSAT_LNC032889)
Source: RNAcentral
AUUUUAAUAGUGGAUUUUCCAGACACAUGACAAGAGUCAAGAAGUUCCUUGAAAAAAUCAAACCAUACUCAAUUGACCAUGUCACUUUGGAGAUAGUUCUAUAGGUGAAAUUAAAGGGGUUAGAAGACUAGCAUGUUUUGGACUUCAAGUCUCAAUAAUGUCCUGUUGGUAAAAGGUUUGACUGCUAACUUGAUUAGUAUUAGUCAACUAUGUGAUGAGGCCCU